Molecule: ribosomal RNA, 353 nt
Filed under: Taraxippus sp. SB0540
Lineage: Eukaryota; Metazoa; Arthropoda; Insecta; Phasmatodea; Pseudophasmatidae
Description: partial small subunit ribosomal RNA
Source: RNAcentral
AGUUAUUUUCUUUAAACCCAAAGAAUUUGGCGGUGUUUUAGUCUAUUUAGAGGAACUUGUCCCAUUAUCGAUAAUCCUCGUUGUAUCUUUCUUUUAAUUGUUAAACAGUAUGUAUACCGCCGUUAUAAGUUUAUAUUUAUAGAUUGAUUAAUUUACUUUUUACUUUAUUAGGUAAUAUUUCAGGUCAAGGUGCAGCUUAUUUAAAAGUGUUGAUGAGUUACAUUAUUUUAUAAAUUAUUUUGGAGUUAAUUAUGAAAUAUUGAUUAAUGAAAUUGGAUUUAAUUGUAAUUUUAUUUAUAUUGGUUUUUUGAUUAUAAAGCUCUGGAAUGAGUACACAUCGCCCGGUCGCUCUA